UACGAAGGGUGCAGGCGUUAAUCGGAAUUACUGGGCGUAAAGCGUGCGCAGACGGUUGCGUAAGUCAGAUGUGAAAGCCCCGGGCUCAACCUGGGAAUUGCAUUUGAGACUGCGUAGCUAGGGUGCGGAAGAGGGAAGCGGAAUUUCCGGUGUAGCGGUGAAAUGCGUAGAUAUCGGAAGGAACACCAGUGGCGAAAGCGGCUUCCUGGUCCAGCACCGACGUUCAGGCACGAAAGCGUGGGGAGCAAACAGG
Molecule: ribosomal RNA, 253 nt
Filed under: uncultured bacterium
Lineage: Bacteria
Description: partial 16S ribosomal RNA
Rfam family: Bacterial small subunit ribosomal RNA
Source: RNAcentral